CCGCUCCCAGGACGUCCUGUGGCAAUGGCAGUGGCAGCUCGUCAGGGACCCCAGGCCCCGAAGAAGAGACCGUCUCUUACCUGACAAGAUCAAGGGGUAGAAGGUGGAAGGUCAUGAAGUCCUUGGAAUAACUGUUCGGAAAAUUACAAGUCUCCAAAAUGCCAGGAUUUAACUGUUAAUGUCAUUUAGAAUUUGAUCAGCCCCUGCUAGGAUCCAGUGGCUUUGCUUGAAGCGACAGCAAAUAUAACACACCAACUUUGUUAUAUCUUUGGCUCAAUGGUAAAGAAUCCACCUACCAAGGUAGGAGACGUGGGUUUGCCUGGGUCAGGAAGAUCCCCUUGCAAAGGAAAUAGCAACCUAUUCCUAUAUUCUUGCCUUGAAAAUCCCAUGGACAGAGGAACCUGGUGGGCUACAAUCCAUGGGGUAGCAAAGAGUCAGACACAACAUAGUGACUAAACAAUAACAAUAGUUGAUUAACUAUUUGAUUAUUCAAAUAGUUGAUUAACAAUGUUGUGAUAGUUGCAGGUGGACAGUAAAGGGACUCAACCAUACAUAUACAUAUACA
Molecule: long non-coding RNA, 565 nt
Organism: Bubalus bubalis (water buffalo)
Lineage: Eukaryota; Metazoa; Chordata; Mammalia; Artiodactyla; Bovidae
Exons: 3
Source: RefSeq, a predicted model, not a curated record